ACGUAGGGACCAAGCGUUGUUCGGAUUUACUGGGCGUAAAGGGCGCGUAGGCGGCGCGGUAAGUCACUUGUGAAAUCUCUGAGCUUAACUCAGAGCGGUCAACUGAUACUGUCGGGCUAGAGUGCAGAAGGGGCAACUGGAAUUCUCGGUGUAGCGGUGAAAUGCGUAGAUAUCGAGAGGAACACCUGCGGCGAAGGCGGGUUGCUGGGCUGACACUGACGCUGAGGCGCGAAAGCUAGGGGAGCGAACGGGA
This 253-nucleotide ribosomal RNA is filed under the name uncultured prokaryote. RNAcentral describes it as "partial 16S ribosomal RNA". It matches the Rfam family "Bacterial small subunit ribosomal RNA", at positions 525 to 777 of the family's 1533-position model. The record is from RNAcentral.